Molecule: ribosomal RNA, 404 nt
Filed under: uncultured bacterium
Lineage: Bacteria
Description: partial 16S ribosomal RNA
Rfam family: Bacterial small subunit ribosomal RNA
Source: RNAcentral
GACGAACGCUGGCGGCGUGCUUAACACAUGCAAGUCGAACAGUGGCGGACGGGUGAGUAAUGCUUGGGAAUCUAGCUAAUGGGGGGGGAUAACUACGGGAAACUGUAGUAAUACCCGCGUACCAUAGGAUGAGCCCAAGUGGGAUUAGGUAGUUGGUGAGGUAAAGGCUAACCAAGCCGACGUCCUCUAGCUGUUCUGAGAGGAGGACCAGCAACACUGGGACGGGGACACGGCCCAGACUCCUACGGGAGGCAGCAGUGGGGAAUAUUGCCCAUGGUGGGCAGCCUGACGCAGCCAGGCCGCGGGAAUGAAGAGGGCCUUCGGGUUGUAAAGUUCUUUCGGUGGCGAGGCGUUAACUACAGAAGAAGCACCGGCUAACUCCGUGCCAGCAGCCGCGGUAAUAC